UAGCAAUACGUGGCACACGGCUCAGUAACACGUAGUCAACAUAACCAAUGGACGUGGAUAAACUCGGGAAACUGAGGCUAAACCGCGAUAGACCAAGAUACCUGGAAUGGUUUUUGAUCAAAAUCUAUAUGGCCUUUGGAUUGGACUGCGACCGAUCAGGCUGUUGGUGAGGUAAUGGCCCACCAAACCUGUAACCGGUACGGGCUCUGAGAGGAGGAGCCCGGAGAUGGGUACUGAGACAAGGACCCAGGCCCUAUGGGGCGCAGCAGGCGCGAAACCUCUGCAAUAGGCGAAAGCCUGACAGGGUUAUUCUGAGUGACUUUCGCUAAGAAAGUCUUUUGACAUCUCUAAAAAUGGUGUAGAAUAAGGGGUGGGCAAGUCUGGUGUCAGCCGCCGCGGUAAUACCAGCACCCCGAGUGGUCGGGACGAUUAUUGGGCCUAAAGCAUCCGUAGCCGGUUUUACAAGUCCUCCGUUAAAUCCAACUGCUUAACAGAUGGGCCGCGGAGGAUACUAUAAGACUAGGAGGCAGGAGAGGCAAGCGGUACUCAGUGGGUAGGGGUAAAAUCCGUUGAUCCAUUGAAGACCACCAGUGGCGAAGGCGGCUUGCCAGAAUGCGCUCGGCGGUGAGGGAUGAAAGCUGGGGGAGCAAACCGGAUUAGAUACCCGGGUAGUCCC
This 676-nucleotide ribosomal RNA is filed under the name uncultured Nitrososphaerota archaeon. RNAcentral's name for it is "bacterial SSU rRNA". It matches the Rfam family "Archaeal small subunit ribosomal RNA", at positions 69 to 748 of the family's 1478-position model. The record is from RNAcentral. Lineage: Archaea; Thermoproteati; Nitrososphaerota.